This 521-nucleotide ribosomal RNA is filed under the name uncultured bacterium. Its description in RNAcentral is "partial 16S ribosomal RNA". It matches the Rfam family "Bacterial small subunit ribosomal RNA", at positions 31 to 542 of the family's 1533-position model. The record is from RNAcentral.
AUUGAACGCUGGCGGCAGGCCUAACACAUGCAAGUCGAGCGGAUGAAGGGAGCUUGCUCCUGGAUUCAGCGGCGGACGGGUGAGUAAUGCCUAGGAAUCUGCCUGGUAGUGGGGGAUAACGUCCGGAAACGGGCGCUAAUACCGCAUACGUCCUGAGGGAGAAAGUGGGGGAUCUUCGGACCUCACGCUAUCAGAUGAGCCUAGGUCGGAUUAGCUAGUUGGUGGGGUAAAGGCCUACCAAGGCGACGAUCCGUAACUGGUCUGAGAGGAUGAUCAGUCACAGUGUACAGAGGACACGUUCAAGAGUCCGAGGGGAGGCGAAAGGGGGAAAGAUGGGAGAAGGUGCGGAAGGCUGAGCCGUCAUGGCUGCUGAUGUGAAGAGGUUGUUAGGAUUGUAAGACAUUUUAUGUGGGGGGGAUGGGCAUUACGUUAAUCUCUUUUUGUUUUGAGGUUCCAAACAGACAACGACCCGGCACCCUUCGUGCCAGCAGCCGUGUAGUAUGAAGCGCUCACGUUUGAGC